UACGAAGGGGGCUAGUGUUGUUCGGAAUCACUGGGCGUAAAGGGAGCGUAGGCGGGUUUUUAAGUUAGGUGUUUAAUCCCGGGGCCCAACCCCGGACCGGCACUUAAAACUGGGAAUCUUGAAUAGUGGAGAGGUCAGUGGAAUUGGGGGUGUAGCGGUGGAAUGCGUAGAGAUCCCCAAGAACACCAGUUGCGAAGGCGGCUGACUGGACACAUAUUGACGCUGAGGCUCGAAAGCAUGGGGAGCAAACGGG
This 253-nucleotide ribosomal RNA is filed under the name uncultured bacterium. Its description in RNAcentral is "partial 16S ribosomal RNA". It matches the Rfam family "Bacterial small subunit ribosomal RNA", at positions 524 to 776 of the family's 1533-position model. The record is from RNAcentral.